ACCGAGGCUAGAGUCACAUUUAGAUGUCCUCAGUCAUCGUAGUGUGCUAUAGUACUCGGAGAGCAAUCACUGACCUUUAUUCACUGACUUGUUUAUUCAGUAGCAGAGUCAGUCUCCAGGUUUGUCACAAGU
This is a small nucleolar RNA of Sceloporus undulatus (fence lizard), 132 nucleotides long. RefSeq annotates it as small nucleolar RNA SNORA3/SNORA45 family. NCBI's taxonomy places the organism in Eukaryota, Metazoa, Chordata, Lepidosauria, Squamata, Phrynosomatidae. The record is from RefSeq and is a predicted model, not a curated record. The transcript has a single exon.